RNAcentral lists this microRNA precursor (166 nucleotides) under Oryza brachyantha (malo sina). RNAcentral describes it as "MIR812 microRNA precursor family". It matches the Rfam family "MIR812 microRNA precursor family", at positions 27 to 191 of the family's 205-position model. The record is from Rfam by way of RNAcentral. Lineage: Eukaryota; Viridiplantae; Streptophyta; Magnoliopsida; Poales; Poaceae.
UACAACGUUUAACUCUUCGUCUUAUUAAAAAAAAUUUAGAUUAAUAAUUUUAUUUUUAUUAGAUGAUAAAAUAUGAAUAGUACUUUAUGUGUGACUAAUUUUUUUUAAAAUUUUUUGAAAAUUUUUUAAAUAAGACGGAUGGUCAAAUGCUCGAUAAAAAAAAUCA